RNAcentral lists this long non-coding RNA (1109 nucleotides) under Elaeis guineensis (African oil palm). Its description in RNAcentral is "long non-coding RNA (EGUI_LNC053677)". The record is from RNAcentral. Lineage: Eukaryota; Viridiplantae; Streptophyta; Magnoliopsida; Arecales; Arecaceae.
UUGUCUUGUUCGAUGUCGAUGUUGUUUGAAGGUUCUUGAUCACCGCCGCAUUGAUUUGCCCCUUUUUGUUUAUGACCGUAGGUCGUUUCGAGGCCAUUUAAGUUUGACGCUUCCUCCCGAUGCUCGAGCUUGGGGACCCGAACUUCUCAUUACUUUGAGGGAGUCGAUUUCUCCUCGGCCUGUGUUGAGCUCUCUCUUAGCGACUGAGGAUUUUUGAUAGGAGUAUCCUUCCUCGUUGAGACGAGAUCCAUUGUGUCUUUGAUGUAGUUUGUUUUUCGCUUAUCGCUGGGGUAGUUCGUCGCCUUCCCUUCUUAUCUUCCUUUUUCUUUUUAUUUGGGUGAGGAUUUUCUCUUUAGACGAGGAUUUUUCCUCUGCUCUUAGCAGGAUUGUGGGGAUGUAAAGAAGCCGCUGAGGAAGCUUUUCUCCUCAUUCGGUCUUGAUCAACCGAAUCUUUGUUUGUGUUAGGACGAGAUUUUUCUCCUGUCCCCGACAUAGUCAAUUUCAGCUCAUGCUAGAAUGAGGUCCUCCUCCUAUUCCUAACAAGACUGUGGGGGCACAUAAGGACCGUUGCAAGAGCCUCUCCUCCCAUUCGGUCUUUAAGUAACCGGACCUUCGAAUUUGCUCAUGUUAAGACGAGGUUCUCCUCCUGUUCCUAACAAGGUGGUGGGGGCACAUAAGGGCCGUUGCAAGGGCCUCUCUCCCCAUCCGGUCUUUAAGUAAUCGGGCCUUUGACUUUGCUCAUGUUAGGAUGAGGUUCUCCUUCUGUUCCUAACAAGACUGUGGGGGCACAUAAGGGCUAUUGCAAGGGCCUCUCCCUCCAUCCGGUCUUUAAGCAACUGGGCCUUCGACUUUGCUUAUGUUGGGACGAGGUUCUCCUCCUAUUCCUAACAAGGUUGUGGGGGCACAUAAGGACCGUUGCAAGGGCCUCUCCCCCCAUCCGAUCUUUAAGUAACCGGACCUUCGACUUUGCUCAUGUUAGGAUGAGAUUUUUCUCCUGUUCCUAACAUGCUUAAUUUCGAUUGUAUGAGGGAGUUAUUUUCUAUCGUUAUAAGCUCAUGCUAAAGGAAAAAAUAUGCAAAUAUGAAACUUUUAUUUAAGGUAAGGUUAUU